CCAUGUAGCUGUGAGCUUCCAUAUAAGCUUCCAUGUGGCUGUGAGCUCUCAUGUCAGCUCCCAUGUGAGCUUGAAUUGUGUUUCUGCCAUGAGUUGUGACUUGUGCCACUUGGAUUCAUAUCAAGUAGCAUCAGAAAUUCGAAUUUGUGAUUUGCAGUGCACAAACUAGUUUCAGACUAUGGUUUUUGUAAGAACUUGUACAAGAUAAAAGUGGAAACGGACUCUUCAACAUGAAGGAGCAGAAAUAAGUCUUGGCCUAAAACAUUUUGUUUGAUAUGUAAUUGUUGGUGUUUAGUAAUAGUAGUCAUUGACAAACCCAAGUACUGAAACUGUCUGGUAGCCUCAAAAGAAAGGUGAAAGUCAACCUAAGUUGUGAUUGGUGUAAUGUGAGUUUCUAAGCUAUGCUAGGUGUGUAUCGUAAUCCCUAGUUCUGAAAUGAAAAUUCACAUAUCCGAAUGAACACCGGAUUAUAACCAAUGAUUUGUUAGUAGAUGAUACACAUGUACUGCUAAACAGACAGACAAAUGAAGUUGAUAUUCAGUUCUC
Carica papaya (papaya) is the source of this 546-nucleotide non-coding RNA. The record is from RefSeq and is a predicted model, not a curated record. NCBI's taxonomy places the organism in Eukaryota, Viridiplantae, Streptophyta, Magnoliopsida, Brassicales, Caricaceae.